GUAGUGUUGGUUCAGUGGUAGAAUUCUCAUCUUCCAUGGGAGAGACCAGGGUUAGAUUCCCAGUCAAUGCA
This 71-nucleotide transfer RNA is filed under the name Loxodonta africana (African savanna elephant). It matches the Rfam family "tRNA". Rfam says of the family: Transfer RNA (tRNA) molecules are approximately 80 nucleotides in length. Their secondary structure includes four short double-helical elements and three loops (D, anti-codon, and T loops). The record is from Rfam by way of RNAcentral. Lineage: Eukaryota; Metazoa; Chordata; Mammalia; Proboscidea; Elephantidae.